Molecule: long non-coding RNA, 370 nt
Organism: Lolium rigidum
Lineage: Eukaryota; Viridiplantae; Streptophyta; Magnoliopsida; Poales; Poaceae
Exons: 3
Source: RefSeq, a predicted model, not a curated record
AUAGCACAUGAACCUGAGUAGGAACCGGAGGGGCUGCACGGCGGCGAGCAGCAGAAGGAUUGACUACGCGCCCGUGUGUCAUGCUACAUGAUUCAUCUCUUCCCUUCCUUCUGUACACCGGCGCUGUUCACCUCUUCUUCCCAGCAUGAGGACGACCUGGAACCCAGCUUGGCAUGGAUGUGGUCAGGUUUGAUAUCAGCAAACACUCAAGAUCAGAUCCUCCUUAAUUUACCUUUCAUCCCAUGUCCCUCCAACCACUAGCUAGAGAAGUCAACCCUAUAAGGAAAGUAUGGAUCAUACUGAGCCAUGACGAGAAAAUGGUGUUGCAAUUGUUGGGCUAGCUUGCCUCAUGAAUUGCUUUGGAAUUUGA